CCUACGGGAGGCAGCAGUAGGGAAUCUUGGACAAUGGGCGCAAGCCUGAUCCAGCCAUGCCGCGUGAGUGAAGAAGGCCUUAGGGUCGUAAAGCUCUUUCGCCUGUGAUGAUAAUGACAGUAGCAGGUAAAGAAACCCCGGCUAACUCCGUGCCAGCAGCCGCGGUAAUACGGAGGGGGUUAGCGUUGCUCGGAAUUACUGGGCGUAAAGCGCGCGUAGGCGGAUUGGAAAGUUAGAGGUGAAAUCCCGGGGCUCAACCCCGGAACGGCCUUUAAAACUCCCAGUCUAGAGUUCGAGAGAGGUGAGCGGAAUUCCAAGUGUAGAGGUGAAAUUCGUAGAUAUUUGGAGGAACACCAGUGGCGAAGGCGGCUCACUGGCUCGAUACUGACGCUGAGGUGCGAAAGUGUGGGGAGCAAACAGGAUUAGAUACCCUGGUAGUCCACACCGUAAACGAUGAAUGCCAGUCGUCGGAUAGUAUACUAUUCGGUGACACACCUAACGGAUUAAGCAUUCCGCCUGGGGAGUACGGUCGCAAGAUUAAAACUCAAAGGAAUUGACGG
RNAcentral lists this ribosomal RNA (560 nucleotides) under uncultured Alphaproteobacteria bacterium. RNAcentral's name for it is "bacterial SSU rRNA". It matches the Rfam family "Bacterial small subunit ribosomal RNA", at positions 338 to 916 of the family's 1533-position model. The record is from RNAcentral. Lineage: Bacteria; Pseudomonadati; Pseudomonadota; Alphaproteobacteria.